Long non-coding RNA from Cyanistes caeruleus (blue tit), 2626 nucleotides. RefSeq lists it as uncharacterized. The record is from RefSeq and is a predicted model, not a curated record. Lineage: Eukaryota; Metazoa; Chordata; Aves; Passeriformes; Paridae.
AGCACCAAGAACAGGGCAAGAAUCACUUUCUUAGUACUGCUGGCCAGCUAUCUCUGAUACAGACAUCAGUCCCCUCCUGCCCUUUCUCGCUCUGUGGGAAUGGAGCAGAGAGCUGGGACUCUUACUAAGGCCAUGAGGCCCCAAGAUGAGGUGGGACUGUGCCCCAAGUUGGGGUGAUGGUCCCCAGGUCACAGCAAUGUUGGUCCAGGCCGAGGUGACGGAGGAUUCCUGUGAUGGCUUCUAACAGUGUUAGUUAUCCAGGUUUACCUGGUUUAUCACCAGGUUUACAAGUUCACAAGCACUUCUGAGUUUUGUGCCCUGAACCUUAGAAAUUUCUAUAAACUCCUGGUAUGACUGUAACUGCAAUGCAGCACCACAGCAGUUAUAAAAAAAGCACAUAAUUAAUUCAAAGUUGUAAGUAUGCUAAAAAUAUAAACUACGUAUGCAUUCUACAGACUUCUUUUUUUUGCCUAUGAUGUAAUUUUUUUUGUUUUAAUUGAGAAGUGAUAACUUGUUUUAGUUCUUUUAUAGCAAUGGGAUCUGAUCUGGCUGACAUAACAGAAAUAAAAUAUGAAGAAGCCUACAGGAAAAGUAUUCAUUUUAAUCUUGCUUAAAAAUUUGAAAGUGCAAAUUCAUUGAAGUUUAAAAUUUGCAGUACUGUGAAGGUGCAAGUUGAACAAUUGUCACUAAAGGUAGCUGCAAAACUGUACAAAUGAAUGGGGUUUUUCCUAGGGUAUGUUACAAAGAUAAAUUAUACUUCUAGCUCAAAGGAAAAUAGUGAAGAUGCUGAAUCCUUCCCUAAAUCAGAUAUAAUUUAUCUUUUAAAAGAUGUAACUGUCUUAUCUCUGUAGGAAAGAUAUUUGCUGUAGUGCUCAGAUAAGGUAGAAUUUGAAUCUCUUUUCUCAUAAACUAGUUUCAUGACUAAAUAGUUACAGAAAGAGCAUAUAAUAAUCCCCAGUUCAGAAAAUGGACCUCAUUGAAGUCCUUUGGUCUUGUAGAGAAAAGUAAUUUUUUAAGUACAAAAAGGGAAGUUCAAAUAACACUGAGGAAAAUUUGAGAAUUGCUAUUAACUUCAGUGCAGCUGAAGUCAUCUAAAAUACUAGGAAUUUUACCUCAGGUUGAAAAGUCAUAGAAACUUACUAAGAGCUAAAAGAAAAAGGAUCAAUUCUUCCUGCUCUAUGGAUACACAUUUGAGUUGAUUUAGACAUAUCUAAUUCAGGGUAUGAUGUGUAAAUCCUAACUAAAAUGAGUGGGACUAUUCAGACAAGAAGUGGUUUUGUGCAUAAGCACUGCAGGACUAAAUUGUUAUUGCAGGUAGGUUUGGGUUUUUUAUCUUCCUCUCCACUUCUGAGAAUUAAUACUGUAAGAAAAUACUCUCUGUUUACACAGGACUAACAACAUUACAUGCUCUGCUUCAGGUUAAUUUAAAAAUUCAAUUCCCUUAAGUAGUUUUGACAGAGGCUCAGGCAGUUUCCUGAAUGCAUUUGCAGUAGGUCUCUGUCUGGUUUCUUGUGCGGAUCUUAAUAAAGAUCCCAGAGCAGCUCUUGAACUUAGUCCAAAGUCCUGUAUAUUCUGACAUCUUUGAUGAGUAAAGUGUGCGCCAGGAGAUGGAUAUUUGCUUUCUAUUUUCUACCUGAUGAGAAUAAAAUAACUUUAUAAGAAACCUUCUGGCAUGUUGGGCCUUAUCCAAAAGCUUUCAGACUCUGCAAGAAUCUCUGCUGAUUUUAACAGUCUUAUGUAUUGAAAAAAACCCAAAGGUCCCAAAGCCCUUCAGUGAAUCAUCAGGAUAUUUUACCACAUAGUAAUUCACAUGGGAAAGGACUGCCAUUGCAAUUGUAUUUUCACUGUUAUGAUAUGAUGAUUUUUACCUUUAAUCUCAUUAGACGUGUUACUUAAAUAAUCAAUUUUGGAUACUCUGUGAAUGGUCCAAACUAGCAUUUAAAAGGAUUUUGUGCAAUUUAAUAUCCAUUAAAUAGAACAAACUGUAAUAGAAUUAUGUAUUUUAUCUCACUAAGUUACUGUAAGGACUUUGGAUCAGAUUGAGGAUCAGUGUCUCCUUUGAUAAGUGACCAACAGGGGACCUAAAAUCACUUCAUAACCACUUUUUGUGAUUUUGAGAGGAAAUACAUUGUUAUGCAAACCUCUAAUACACACAGGCAAGUAUAUAUGGACACCAGAUUAUCAGAUGCUGUGAUUUAUGUUAGAAACAGCUUAGAAAAUAUAGUGAUGGAGUAAAACAUUUGUUGUAACUCAGAAUCCUGACUAGCUCAAAUCUGUUCUGUGCCUGUUUCCAUUACAGUUCUGCACCUUGAGCUGACAUGUAAUUCCCUAUUACAAGUGCUGUUCCAGGGCUGUAAGAGACUUUUAGACACCUGCAGUAUUCAUGCUCAGUGUCCUGGCUUGCUUAGCAUCACAGAAGCUCAGGGAAGUUUGGUGUCUGGUUUUAUAAAUGCUGUUACUCUAGAGUGCUAUUGCACUCUAGAAGUUAUAAGGAAAUGUAAGCAUUCACAAGAUCAGAACAUUGGUAUUUCUUUUCUUCAUCUGGGUAGUAGAGUUCAUUUGUCAGAAGUAACUUUUUUAGAGAACACGAAUAAAUAAAUCACUACUCCAGUGUCCACAACAAUAA